GAGGGCGGCGCGCCCGGGGGCAGAGCCGCCGCCUCGUCCCGCCCGCCCCGCGCCGCUCCCGCCAUGGACGGGCCGUGAGAGCCGCUGCGCGCCAUGGGCGCCUCGCCGCCCCCCGCCCGGACCGGCGAGCGGGGCGCAGAUGCGUUUCUGCUCCUGUAGAGACUUUGUUGCUUCACAUCAGACCUAUGUGACUUUGCUGGAAGGAUCAUGACUGAAGUCCUCUUCUCUGCUGCUUUGAAUGGAACUGAGCCCAACCUGUUAUCCAGCAGUGGCUGGUCUGCCGGAAAUGCCACCACCAAGUGUUCCCUGACUAAAACUGGCUUCCAGUUCUAUUACCUGCCCACCGUCUACAUUUUGGUCUUCAUCACUGGGUUUUUGGGCAACAGCGUGGCCAUCUGGAUGUUUGUCUUCCAUAUGCGGCCUUGGAGCGGCAUCUCAGUUUACAUGUUCAACUUGGCGCUAGCUGAUUUCUUGUAUGUCUUGACUCUGCCUGCCCUCAUCUUCUACUACUUCAAUAAAACAGACUGGAUCUUCGGCGAUGUCAUGUGCAAACUACAGAGGUUCAUCUUCCACGUGAACCUGUACGGCAGUAUUUUGUUUCUCACCUGCAUCAGCGUGCACAGGUACACAGGGGUUGUGCAUCCCUUGAAGUCGCUGGGGAGGCUGAAGAAGAAGAACGCGGUGUACAUCAGCACCCUGGUCUGGGCCAUCGUGGUGGCUGCGAUUUCUCCAAUACUCUUCUACUCGGGAACAGGGAUAAGGAAAAAUAAAACCACGACGUGCUACGACACGACCGCCGAUGAUUUCCUGAGAAGUUACUUCAUUUACAGCAUGUGCACCACCGUGCUGAUGUUCUGUAUCCCAUUCAUACUGAUUCUUGGUUGCUAUGGGCUAAUUGUGAAAGCUUUGAUUUACAAAGAUUUGGACAAUUCUCCUCUCAGGAGAAAGUCUAUUUACCUGGUUAUUAUUGUGUUGACGGUCUUUGCUGUGUCUUACCUUCCCUUCCACGUGAUGAAGACCUUAAAUCUAAGAGCCAGGGUGGAUUUUCAGACUCCACAAAUGUGUGCCUUCAACGAUAAGGUUUAUGCUACUUACCAGGUAACGAGGGGUCUGGCCAGCCUCAACAGUUGCGUCGACCCUAUCCUUUACUUUCUGGCAGGUGAUACCUUUCGAAGGCGGCUUUCCAGGGCGACCAGGAAAUCGUCCCGAAGAAGUGAACACAAUGUGCAGUCCAAAAGUGAGGAAAUGACUCUCAAUAUUUUGUCUGAGUAUAAACAGAAUGGAGAUACAAGUUUGUGAACGAAUGCAAAAGAUUUGGGAACGGCUUGGAAAAAUCCUCCGCUUUGAGACAGUAGGAUGCUGUAGUGCUACAAGCGUGUGGGGAAAACCUACCAGUCUCUCAAAUUCCUUUUCGGCAAAGCCUCAUUUUCUGAUCUUAGAAAAAGCUUAACAAAGUAAGUGGAAGAAUUUUAAUGGAAAAGAACGUGUCAAAAUCAGCUUUCCUUCUUAUGAUAUUCUCAUUCCUUUCUGACUUGCAUCAGAUGAAGUAAAAUGAAGUAAAUCCCCUAAAGGAAGAAAGCAAUCCAAGUACUUCUGUUUUAAUGACUUAGUCUCCCACAUUCAAAAAUGUUCUCAAUGAGCCUCUCUUUAAAAAUACGAAAUAAGAAGGAGCAGAAUCUUCUCUUUGGAGGCCCACUAGCCUUUCGCUCAUUUACUGCUGUACACAAACGUUUAUAUCAAAGUCAGGAUGCAGUUAUCUCACCUUUACGGUUUUCUUAUUUCUUCAUCUACUUCUGGUGUUGAUCAUUAUUUGAUAGUUUUGGUAGCAUUUACGAUUCAGUCUUGUUUGAGUGCCCGUGUUUUACAAAAGGUAGGCUUACUGGUGUGUGCAUGAUUAUGCUUUCGGAUUGCGAUGGUUGUUCAUGAAAAAUAUGGAGCAAAAAAUGGCAAAGCCAGAAUUGGGCAAAUGGGCGUCCAGGUGAACUGGCCCUCGCCACUGGCAGGCGGAGAAGCAGGUUGUCUCUAGGAGCCCGAGCAAGCAGGCGCCAGCUUUGCACGUGCACAUGGCAGGGCGUUUCGUGAACAGAUGUCAGCGUACAAAUGCAUGCAGCGAUGAUUUCGUUGUGAGCAGCCGGUGGUUUGAUCCUGCCUUCCAUGCUGAGGGAAAACAGGUGUGUUGUCAGCCGGCAGGAUGAGGCUGAGCGAGGACUGGGCUCGCCCAGGGAGCACCUCAGCGAGCCCUGCAGAGCCAAGGGGCGAGCUGCCUUUCCUGAAGGCUGCCCACGGUGCCAACGCUCGACUGCCGGCGUUGGGAGCCAUGCUGGAGUUCUUUACGGGUAAAACAUGAGAAAUGCGUGUGCUGAAAAUAACUGUACCUUUCAGACAAGUAAAACUACGGUUGCUCGAGUUACUUGCGUUUCCAUUUGGUACAAGAGUGUUUCUAUUUCUGGCAGUCUUAGAGAUAACGUAAGAGUUGUUUCCCAAGAAGAUAGUUAUUAAAAAGGAUAAUAUAAAUGGAUUAUAUAUUAUAUAUAUAUAAAUAAUUGGGGGGGGAAUUAAUAUUUUGUACUGUGAUGAAUAAAUUACUGUAUUAACAAGAUGUUGCAAUAUACUACCGACUAAAUCCAGCCCUUUAUUAUGUGUCUUCUCCAAAUGUGGAAUAGGUCAUCCAAAAUUAGCCAAACUGCAAUAUUGUGUAACACAAUAGCUGGUGAUCAGAGCACAGAUGAAAUCUGACAUGGGCAGCCUUAUUCAUUUAUUCUGAUAUUUUUAAGAAAUGUAUUUGAAAAUAUUGUGUGCUAGAAAUGGUACAAAAGCAUGCUCUAAAAUUAGUGUACGAAGUUAAGUUCUGUGUAAUCCUAAGGGUGAUUUUAACAGAUCUUUGUUCCUCCAGUCUUCGUGGUAAGAGUAAAAUAUUUAUAUUUUACUUACUAACUUCCAGUGAUUGGUAACAAACAAGAAUAGCUCUAGUUAUUUUUUUGAUGACAUUGUAAAGCAGCUUCUGUUCACACGUACAGCUUCUUGAUCUGCAAAAUCCCUAUUUAUUGAACUUAUUUAUUAGAAAGCUAAAUGUAAAGUAUGUAAAGUGUGGUUCUCCGUGUUCAUAGUCAGAAUUGGGCAUUAAUGGAAAAAUUUAACAGCAUGUUUUGAUCUCUGUAAUACUGUGUCUUCUAACAGAACAUCUUUAUAAUAAACUCAGUUCCACCCUGACUGUUCACUGUUGACUUGUAACCUAGUGAUAAAUUAAACUCCUGAUUUAUAGCCUAAAGCUAAAUUUAACUGCUGCUUAGAAAGCGUAGCUUCUUAAAGCAAUGUUAGGAUCUCAUUUAGCCCUAUAAAAUGGAAAAUGUAGAGGUUUUGAAGAAAUCCCCGCCAAGGGUCAAUUGCUAAUUAAUCCCUACUGACAAAAGACUGUGGAACUGCACAGCCUAUUUGUAUUGCCAGAGAAUGAGCCUGAUUCACAAUAAAUUACUUCCAUUAUGUGAUUAUUUGAGACUUCAUUCAACUGAGGCACGUCUUGUUUGGAAUGGUGGAUUAAUUAAAUGGAGAGAGAGCAUAAAAAUAGGAUAUUCUCUGAAUCUUCUUCUUUAGGUUUAAGAUCGUAUCCAUUUCCCAGCAUUUCAUGGUCUAUUUGUCUGUUUCAGUUAGGAAAUAAAAUGUUCCGCUAAUCCAUGUCUGAAAAAAGAUCCUAAACAGACACAGCAGAAUGUAAAACCAUACGCCCAGGUUGGUCCUUAUGCAGUUACUUACAGUCUUUUUGCAAUAUGUCGCUCUAAUAUGGCAUCGUUGACUGUUACGGAGUGUACGGAAACCCACGUGCAACCAAAUCCUCUGGGUGUGCUGUGGGAGAGACAUGCGGCCAGAGAGCCACCCUGCCUGGGACAUCCACCUUCUGGAGCUCGGGAUGGCCAUCUCCAUCCCAGCAUCAGCCUUGUGGAUCUUGAACACCAGCCAAGUUUUCCUGCUUUCCUCUGAACCGUUGGAAGCUCGUUCUGUUCUGUCUUGCCUCAUGGAAGAGAACUGUGCAACCGGCCAGGUUAUUCACCCAGUUCAUUGCUGAGGUCUGUGUUUAUUAAAUGAAGAUCAAUUCUGAUGAUCCACAUGGCAGGCAACUGCACUCGGCAUCUUCACCUCAUGGAAGCACACGAGAGCCUUCCCCUAACACCAAGAAGAUUCAUCGAACACAUUUUACACACUGUUUAUUUUCCAUCUUUCACAUCCUAGGACCUGUAGAGCCAACACCUCAAACUGCAUCCUGCUCCGAUGUGACACACACUGGGAUGUCACAACCUACUCUGAAUCCAGCAGAAACACAAAGCUGAGCCUCACGAUCUCAUGUAAAGUUCCUCCUUUUUUUGUAAACAUUGCUAUAUUUGACAUGAGGUAGUUGGAACCCUUACAAAAAUCACACCGAGUUCCAUCUCCUCCCACACGAUUACUUUUACCUACAACAGGACAGACGUGUGUCUGUUGGGCCAUCCCGCCAGCGAGGAAGCUGGUCAGAUGGGGUCAUUGGGCACUACCAGGGCAAAAGCCAGGCAGGUCUUCUCCAGACAGUGAUGGAGCCAUUAGCUCCGGGGGAACUGGGCAAGACUGCUGUUAAAAAAUUGCCUUUGGGUACUUUUCCACUCUAAUAUAUUUGUGGAAGACAAUCGGUCCACCAACCUUAGAGGCCCAAGCGAUCCCUGUGGUUACACAUAAACCUCUGCAGUGGGCGUAGGCAAAGAAGCCUUUCCCUAAGCCGCUCAGCUGGAGUUUCUGACCUAUCCCUAUCUCACCUGCAGCCUAUUUUCAGUAAUAACCAACGAUGACAAUAGGUUGUGUUUACUAGGAAGAAGAUUCAGCUCAUGGUCUUACUACAGGAAGACCACCUAAACGGUUCGCCUCCCCUCGUGCUGCCUUUGACUAGCAAAUGCAAUCCGGCACUGUAAUUUUGUGAUCAUGCUGUUAACCUGUUUUUCCUCUGAGUAUAUUUAGGCAUCUUUUAACAAAUACAAAAUAUUCACUGGAGACACGAAAAGGUUUGAGGUAAAUCGUUAUUUAGAGCUUAAGUGUUGCUAAAGCAUUCUACAAUGAUCCACACUGAAACAAAGUAUUAUUCGUUAGUUAUGUUUUGCUUCCUCCAGCUCUCACAGGGUUAAUUUUUUUUCCUCGUUUAUGCCCAUUAUCUCCCACAUAAGGCAAUCUUCAAUACAAAAUGAAAUCAGUAUGAAACCUACACAUGAUCUGCUGUCAGUUUGUACAUUUUCAUAGCAUAGCACCUAGGAUUUUUUCUUUUAAUCCAGUUCAUAUGACACCAACUGAACGAAAUAAUGCUCAGACACAGGGAGCCAGCAGAAUCUUGCCCGAGAUUGCACUGGAUGCCUUCGUAAGCCGUUUUCCAACCCGCAUUCUGCUGUGGGGCUGUGUCUGUGGCUGAUGGUCCACGGGUCAAUGCCACAGAGCAUCCUGCUGCUUCCUCCCCAUGGCCCAGGACAGAAGCUGAAGAUUUGGUUCCUUCCUGUGGGUCCAUAGACUAAAACCUCGGCAUCGUACUGGAUUGGACCAGAACGAAACCAUCGAUAGAUAUGUUUCAACACAGCCCACUAUUAUUCAAGUCUACACACUGGUAUGUGUUACCUGCAGUGUUUAGUCUCCACCGUUGGUAACAUUUUGAAGGAAGUUGUGGGCCUGA
RNA transcript from Cuculus canorus (common cuckoo), 5674 nucleotides. It is a transcript of the gene named purinergic receptor P2Y1, with no coding region annotated. The transcript has 3 exons. The record is from RefSeq and is a predicted model, not a curated record. Lineage: Eukaryota; Metazoa; Chordata; Aves; Cuculiformes; Cuculidae.